UACGUAGGCGGCAUGAUAAGUCUGGAGUGAAAGGCUACAGCUCAACUGUAGUAUGCUCUGGAAACUGUCAAGCUAGAGUGCAGAAGAGGGCAAUGGAACUCCAUGUGUAGCGGUAAAAUGCGUAGAUAUAUGGAAGAACACCGGUGGCGAAGGCGGUUGCCUGGUCUGAAACUGACGCUGAAGUACGAAAGCGUGGGAGCAAAUA
RNAcentral lists this ribosomal RNA (205 nucleotides) under uncultured bacterium. RNAcentral describes it as "partial 16S ribosomal RNA". It matches the Rfam family "Bacterial small subunit ribosomal RNA", at positions 568 to 774 of the family's 1533-position model. The record is from RNAcentral.